Molecule: ribosomal RNA, 477 nt
Filed under: bacterium enrichment culture clone ALO1_GLFRUDD03GA2ST
Lineage: Bacteria
Description: bacterial SSU rRNA
Rfam family: Bacterial small subunit ribosomal RNA
Source: RNAcentral
GAGUUUGAUCAUGGCUCAGGACGAACGCUGGCGGCGUGCCUAACACAUGCAAGUCGAACGGGAACAGCCUGAAGCUUGCUUCGGACUGUUCUAGUGGCGGACGGGUGAGUAACGCGUGAGGAACCUGCCUUUCAGAGGGGGAUAACGUCUGGAAACGGACGCUAAUACCGCAUGACAUCAGAGGGUCACAUGGCUUUCUGAUCAAAGGAGCAAUCCGCUGAAAGAUGGACUCGCGUCCGAUUAGCCAGUUGGCGGGGCAAAGGCCCACCAAAGCGACGAUCGGUAGCCGGGCUGAGAGGCUGAACGGCCACAUUGGGACUGAGACACGGCCCAGACUCCUACGGGAGGCAGCAGUGGGGAUAUUGCACAAUGGAGGAAACUCUGAUGCAGCAACGCCGCGUGAGGGAAGACGGUCUCGGAUUGUAAACCUUUGUCCUCGGUGACGAUAAUGACGGUGGCCGAGGAGGAAGCGUCCGG